This 492-nucleotide ribosomal RNA is filed under the name uncultured bacterium. RNAcentral's name for it is "partial 16S ribosomal RNA". It matches the Rfam family "Bacterial small subunit ribosomal RNA", at positions 29 to 507 of the family's 1533-position model. The record is from RNAcentral.
AGUGAACGCUGGCGGUAGGCCUAACACAUGCAAGUCGAACGGCAGCACAGUAAGAGCUUGCUCUUACGGGUGGCGAGUGGCGGACGGGUGAGGAAUACAUCGGAAUCUACUUUUUCGUGGGGGAUAACGUAGGGAAACUUACGCUAAUACCGCAUACGACCUACGGGUGAAAGCAGGGGAUCUUCGGACCUUUCGCGAUUGAAUGAGCCGAUGUCGGAUUAGCUAGUUGGCGGGGUAAAGGCCCACCAAGGCGACGAUCCGUAGCUGGUCUGAGAGGAUGGUCGGCCACACUGGAACUGGGACACGGUCCAGACUCCUACGGGAGGCAGCAGUAGGGAAUCUUCCGCAAUGGGCGGAAGGCUGACGCAGCAACGCCGGGUGAGGGAAGAAGGGCUUCGGAUUGUAAAACUCUGUUAUUAGGGAAGAAAAAAUGUGUAAGUAACUACGCACGUCUUGACGGUACCUAAAAAAAAAGCCACGGCUAACUACGUG